UACAGAGGGUGCGAGCGUUAAUCGGAAUUACUGGGCGUAAAGCGCACGUAGGCGGCUUUGCAAGUCGGAUGUGAAAUCCCCGGGCUCAACCUGGGAACUGCAUUCGAGACUGCUUUGCUUGAGUAUGGGAGAGGGAGGCGGAAUUUCCGGUGUAGCGGUGAAAUGCGUAGAUAUCGGAAGGAACAUCAGUGGCGAAAGCGGCCUCCUGGACCAAUACUGACGCUCAUGUGCGAAAGCGUGGGGAGCAAACAGG
This 253-nucleotide ribosomal RNA is filed under the name uncultured bacterium. Its description in RNAcentral is "partial 16S ribosomal RNA". It matches the Rfam family "Bacterial small subunit ribosomal RNA", at positions 524 to 776 of the family's 1533-position model. The record is from RNAcentral.